This 1554-nucleotide ribosomal RNA is filed under the name Salmonella enterica subsp. enterica serovar Albany str. ATCC 51960. Its description in RNAcentral is "bacterial SSU rRNA". It matches the Rfam family "Bacterial small subunit ribosomal RNA". Lineage: Bacteria; Pseudomonadati; Pseudomonadota; Gammaproteobacteria; Enterobacterales; Enterobacteriaceae. The record is from RNAcentral.
UUAAAUUGAAGAGUUUGAUCAUGGCUCAGAUUGAACGCUGGCGGCAGGCCUAACACAUGCAAGUCGAACGGUAACAGGAAGCAGCUUGCUGCUUUGCUGACGAGUGGCGGACGGGUGAGUAAUGUCUGGGAAACUGCCUGAUGGAGGGGGAUAACUACUGGAAACGGUGGCUAAUACCGCAUAACGUCGCAAGACCAAAGAGGGGGACCUUCGGGCCUCUUGCCAUCAGAUGUGCCCAGAUGGGAUUAGCUUGUUGGUGAGGUAACGGCUCACCAAGGCGACGAUCCCUAGCUGGUCUGAGAGGAUGACCAGCCACACUGGAACUGAGACACGGUCCAGACUCCUACGGGAGGCAGCAGUGGGGAAUAUUGCACAAUGGGCGCAAGCCUGAUGCAGCCAUGCCGCGUGUAUGAAGAAGGCCUUCGGGUUGUAAAGUACUUUCAGCGGGGAGGAAGGUGUUGUGGUUAAUAACCGCAGCAAUUGACGUUACCCGCAGAAGAAGCACCGGCUAACUCCGUGCCAGCAGCCGCGGUAAUACGGAGGGUGCAAGCGUUAAUCGGAAUUACUGGGCGUAAAGCGCACGCAGGCGGUCUGUCAAGUCGGAUGUGAAAUCCCCGGGCUCAACCUGGGAACUGCAUUCGAAACUGGCAGGCUUGAGUCUUGUAGAGGGGGGUAGAAUUCCAGGUGUAGCGGUGAAAUGCGUAGAGAUCUGGAGGAAUACCGGUGGCGAAGGCGGCCCCCUGGACAAAGACUGACGCUCAGGUGCGAAAGCGUGGGGAGCAAACAGGAUUAGAUACCCUGGUAGUCCACGCCGUAAACGAUGUCUACUUGGAGGUUGUGCCCUUGAGGCGUGGCUUCCGGAGCUAACGCGUUAAGUAGACCGCCUGGGGAGUACGGCCGCAAGGUUAAAACUCAAAUGAAUUGACGGGGGCCCGCACAAGCGGUGGAGCAUGUGGUUUAAUUCGAUGCAACGCGAAGAACCUUACCUGGUCUUGACAUCCACGGAAGUUUUCAGAGAUGAGAAUGUGCCUUCGGGAACCGUGAGACAGGUGCUGCAUGGCUGUCGUCAGCUCGUGUUGUGAAAUGUUGGGUUAAGUCCCGCAACGAGCGCAACCCUUAUCCUUUGUUGCCAGCGGUUAGGCCGGGAACUCAAAGGAGACUGCCAGUGAUAAACUGGAGGAAGGUGGGGAUGACGUCAAGUCAUCAUGGCCCUUACGACCAGGGCUACACACGUGCUACAAUGGCGCAUACAAAGAGAAGCGACCUCGCGAGAGCAAGCGGACCUCAUAAAGUGCGUCGUAGUCCGGAUUGGAGUCUGCAACUCGACUCCAUGAAGUCGGAAUCGCUAGUAAUCGUGGAUCAGAAUGCCACGGUGAAUACGUUCCCGGGCCUUGUACACACCGCCCGUCACACCAUGGGAGUGGGUUGCAAAAGAAGUAGGUAGCUUAACCUUCGGGAGGGCGCUUACCACUUUGUGAUUCAUGACUGGGGUGAAGUCGUAACAAGGUAACCGUAGGGGAACCUGCGGUUGGAUCACCUCCUUACCUGAAAGAA